Molecule: ribosomal RNA, 253 nt
Filed under: uncultured bacterium
Lineage: Bacteria
Description: partial 16S ribosomal RNA
Rfam family: Bacterial small subunit ribosomal RNA
Source: RNAcentral
UACGUAGGGUGCAAGCGUUAAUCGGAAUUACUGGGCGUAAAGCGUGCGCAGGCGGUGAUGUAAGUCAGAUGUGAAAUCCCCGGGCUCAACCUGGGAACUGCAUUUGAGACUGCAUCGCUGGAGUGCGGCAGAGGGGGAUGGAAUUCCGCGUGUAGCAGUGAAAUGCGUAGAUAUGCGGAGGAACACCGAUGGCGAAGGCAAUCCCCUGGGCCUGCACUGACGCUCAUGCACGAAAGCGUGGGGAGCAAACAGG